Molecule: ribosomal RNA, 292 nt
Filed under: uncultured bacterium
Lineage: Bacteria
Description: partial 16S ribosomal RNA
Rfam family: Bacterial small subunit ribosomal RNA
Source: RNAcentral
GUGCCAGCCGCCGCGGUAAUACGAACUGUGCAAACGUUAUUCGGAAUCACUGGGCUUAAAGGGUGCGUAGGCGGCUUGUUAAGUAGGGUGUGAAAUCCCCCGGCUCAACCGGGGAAUUGCGCCCUAAACUGGCGAGCUGGAGUGAGAUAGGGGUGUGUGGAACUUCCAGUGGAGCGGUGAAAUGUGUUGAUAUUGGAAGGAACGCCAGUGGCGAAAGCGACACACUGGGUCUCAACUGACGCUGAGGCACGAAAGCCAGGGGAGCAAACGGGAUUAGAUACCCCUGUAGUCC